GUCGAACGCUGGCGGCGUGCUUAACACAUGCAAGUCGAACGGUAAGGCCUUUCGGGGUACACGAGUGGCGAACGGGUGAGUAACACGUGGGUGAUCUGCCCUGCACUUCGGGAUAAGCCCGGGAAACUGGGUCUAAUACCGGAUAGGACUGCGCGGUGCAUGCCGUGUGGUGGAAAGAUUUAUCGGUGCAGGAUGGGCCCGCGGCCUAUCAGCUUGUUGGUGGGGUAAUGGCCUACCAAGGCGACGACGGGUAGCCGGCCUGAGAGGGCGACCGGCCACACUGGGACUGAGACACGGCCCAGACUCCUACGGGAGGCAGCAGUGGGGAAUAUUGCACAAUGGGCGCAAGCCUGAUGCAGCGACGCCGCGUGAGGGAUGACGGCCUUCGGGUUGUAAACCUCUUUCAGCAGGGACGAAGCGUGAGUGACGGUACCUGCAGAAGAAGCACCGGCCAACUACGUG
This 462-nucleotide ribosomal RNA is filed under the name uncultured bacterium. RNAcentral's name for it is "partial 16S ribosomal RNA". It matches the Rfam family "Bacterial small subunit ribosomal RNA", at positions 28 to 507 of the family's 1533-position model. The record is from RNAcentral.